UGCAGUCGAAGAUGACUCUCUAGCUUGCUAGAGAUGAUUAGUGGCGGACGGGUGAGUAACAUUUAGGAAUCUACCUAGUAGUGGGGGAUAGCUCGGGGAAACUCGAAUUAAUACCGCAUACGACCUACGGGUGAAGGGGGGCGCAAGCUCUUGCUAUUAGAUGAGCCUAAAUCAGAUUAGCUAGUUGGUGGGGUAAAGGCCUACCAAGGCGACGAUCUGUAACUGGUCUGAGAGGAUGAUCAGUCACACCGGAACUGAGACACGGUCCGGACUCCUACGGGAGGCAGCAGUGGGGAAUAUUGGACAAUGGGGGCAACCCUGACCCAGCCAUGCCGCGUGUGUGAAGAAGGCCUUUUGGUUGUAAAGCACUUUAAGCAGGGAGGAGAGGCUAAUGGUUAAUACCCAUUAGAUUAGACGUUACCUGCAGAAUAAGCACCGGCUAACUCUGUGCCAGCAGCCGCGGUAAUACAGAGGGUGCGAGCGUUAAUCGGAAUUACUGGGCGUAAAGCGAGUGUAGGUGGCUCAUUAAGUCACAUGUGAAAUCCCCGGGCUUAACCUGGGAACUGCAUGUGAUACUGGUGGUGCUAGAAUAUGUGAGAGGGAAGUAGAAUUCCAGGUGUAGCGGUGAAAUGCGUAGAGAUCUGGAGGAAUACCGAUGGCGAAGGCAGCUUCCUGGCAAAUAUUGACACUGAGAUUCGAAGC
RNAcentral lists this ribosomal RNA (702 nucleotides) under uncultured bacterium. RNAcentral's name for it is "bacterial SSU rRNA". It matches the Rfam family "Bacterial small subunit ribosomal RNA", at positions 56 to 760 of the family's 1533-position model. The record is from RNAcentral.